RNAcentral lists this ribosomal RNA (504 nucleotides) under uncultured bacterium. RNAcentral's name for it is "bacterial SSU rRNA". It matches the Rfam family "Bacterial small subunit ribosomal RNA", at positions 501 to 1006 of the family's 1533-position model. The record is from RNAcentral.
CUACGUGCCAGCAGCCGCGGUAAUACGGAAGGUCCAGGCGUUAUCCGGAUUUAUUGGGUUUAAAGGGUGCGUAGGCCGUUUGAUAAGCGUGCUGUGAAAUAUAGUGGCUCAACCUCUAUCGUGCAGCGCGAACUGUUGAACUUGAGUGCGUAGUAGGUAGGCGGAAUUCGUGGUGUAGCGGUGAAAUGCUUAGAUAUCACGAAGAACUCCGAUUGCGAAGGCAGCUUACCGUAACGUUACUGACGCUUAAGCACGAAGGUGCGGGUAUCGAACAGGAUUAGAUACCCUGGUAGUCCGCACAGUAAACGAUGGAUGCUCGCUGUUGGCCUUUUGUGGUCAGUGGCUUAGCGAAAGCGUUAAGCAUCCCACCUGGGGAGUACGCCGGCAACGGUGAAACUCAAAGGAAUUGACGGGGGCCCGCACAAGCGGAGGAACAUGUGGUUUAAUUCGAUGAUACGCGAGGAACCUUACCCGGGCUUGAACUGCAGCUGAACGAUUCAGAGA